This 377-nucleotide ribosomal RNA is filed under the name uncultured bacterium. RNAcentral's name for it is "bacterial SSU rRNA". It matches the Rfam family "Bacterial small subunit ribosomal RNA", at positions 524 to 898 of the family's 1533-position model. The record is from RNAcentral.
UACAUAGGGGGCAAGCGUUGUCCGGAAUGACUGGGCGUAAAGGGUGUGUAGGCGGUUUCGUAAGUUGGAAGUGUAAUACCUAGAGCUUAACUCAGGUGCUGCUUCCAAAACUGCGAGACUUGAGUGUCGGAGAGGAAAAUGGAAUUCCUAGUGUAGCGGUGGAAUGCGUAGAUAUUAGGAGGAACACCAGAGGCGAAAGCGAUUUUCUGGACGAUAACUGACGCUGAGGCACGAAAGCGUGGGGAGCAAACAGGAUUAGAUACCCUGGUAGUCCACGCUGUAAACGAUGGAUACUAGGUGUAGGGGGUAUCGACUCCCCCUGUACCGUAGCUAACGCAAUAAGUAUCCCGCCUGGGGAGUACGGCCGCAAGGUUGAA